GACUAGUCCAUGUUUUAAAAGUUGUCACUGGGUGAUUCUGUGCCGCAUAGCAUGGCACAGUGUUUCAGAAUGAAGCAAAUAAUUUGGUCACAGUAAAAGAGUGAAUUAAUCAAGAACAAAACUGUAACUUGGGUAUCAGUUUGUAGCUACUAUGGAAAGCAGACACCUGAGAUAGAUGGGCUUUUGGUCUACCUACCACAUGGGGAAUAUGAGGUCAUUUUGGGCAGAACCCCUAGGAAUCAACCAACAGCUAUGCCUGGA
Long non-coding RNA from Cygnus olor (mute swan), 261 nucleotides. RefSeq lists it as uncharacterized. NCBI's taxonomy places the organism in Eukaryota, Metazoa, Chordata, Aves, Anseriformes, Anatidae. The record is from RefSeq and is a predicted model, not a curated record. The transcript has 3 exons.